GCUGCCAUACGAGCGCGUCUUGGUCCGGGCCAGGCUCUGGGACAGCUCGGCCUCCGACUCGUCCCCUCCUCCGGCCCCGGGAGGCAGCGGCUCAGACAUCCUCCCCUUCCCCGGAGUGAUCCAAUGGAAUUAAUGUUCACGUGGAAGUCGCAAAGCAUACAGCAAGAGCUCUGCAAAAGAAGCUACUACACUAUAUACGACUGACUGGAGAUGAGCGAAACCAAGUAAGGUUAGCCCCAAGGAGCUGAACACUAAAAGAUGGCAGGACAAGAUCACAAACAACAAAGUCCUUCAUUGUGCUGUGCUCAACAGAAUGGAAAUCAUUCCCAAGAAAAUUCAAUUUAGGCAUAACUCCCACAUGGAUGACUUUCAAAUCCCCAAACACAUCUUCAGUGGGGAACUGUCAAGGGGAGAACAUCAUCAAAAUGGUCUGUACAAAUGAUUAAAGACACUUCACAAACAAAAAA
This is a long non-coding RNA of Rhincodon typus (whale shark), 467 nucleotides long. RefSeq lists it as uncharacterized. NCBI's taxonomy places the organism in Eukaryota, Metazoa, Chordata, Chondrichthyes, Orectolobiformes, Rhincodontidae. The transcript is spliced from 3 exons. The record is from RefSeq and is a predicted model, not a curated record.